RNAcentral lists this ribosomal RNA (484 nucleotides) under uncultured bacterium. RNAcentral's name for it is "partial 16S ribosomal RNA". It matches the Rfam family "Bacterial small subunit ribosomal RNA", at positions 30 to 507 of the family's 1533-position model. The record is from RNAcentral.
AUUGAACGCUGGCGGGAUGCUUUACACAUGCAAGUCGAGCGGCAGCACGGGGGCAACCCUGGUGGCGAGCGGCGAACGGGUGAGUAAUACAUCGGAACAUGCCCAGUCGUGGGGGAUAACACUUCGAAAGAAGUGCUAAUACCGCAUACGUCCUGAGGGAGAAAGCGGGGGAUCGCAAGACCUCGCGCGAUUGGAGUGGCCGAUGUCAGAUUAGCUAGUUGGUGGGGUAAAGGCCUACCAAGGCAACGAUCUGUAGCUGGUCUGAGAGGAUGAUCAGCCACACUGGGACUGAGACACGGCCCAGACUCCUACGGGAGGCAGCAGUGGGGAAUUUUGGACAAUGGGGGCAACCCUGAUCCAGCCAUUCCGCGUGAGUGAAGAAGGCCUUCGGGUUGUAAAGCUCUUUCGGCAGGAACGAAACGGCGAGCUCUAACAUAGCUUGCUAAUGACGGUACCUGAAGAAGAAGCACCGGCUAACUACGUG